UACGUAGGGACCAAGCGUUGUUCGGAUUUACUGGGCGUAAAGGGCGCGUAGGCGGCAAUUCAAGUCAUCUGUGAAAUCUCCGGGCUUAACCCGGAACGGUCAGGUGAUACUGUUUUGCUAGAGUGCGGAAGGGGCAAUCGGAAUUCUCGGUGUAGCGGUGAAAUGCGUAGAUAUCGAGAGGAACACCAGAGGUGAAGACGGGUUGCUGGGCCGACACUGACGCUGACAGCGCGAAAGCCAGGGGAGCGAACGGG
Molecule: ribosomal RNA, 254 nt
Filed under: uncultured bacterium
Lineage: Bacteria
Description: partial 16S ribosomal RNA
Rfam family: Bacterial small subunit ribosomal RNA
Source: RNAcentral